UUAAAUUGAUUUAUCUCGUUCAGUAAUUUCUGUUCUCUAUCUUUUUCUUCUUUUUCUUUUUGCCUUUGUUCAUACAGCUCUUUUAACAUUUGUAGUUCUUUUUCUAAUUCAGCAAUCCUACUAUUUUUAGUUUCUUCUAUUUUUCGUAUUUCUUCCGUAGUUUGUUGUUUUAUUUUUUCUAUUUCCUUUUUCCUAUCUAUUUCUUCAUUUGCUCUUUCUAU
This 221-nucleotide long non-coding RNA is filed under the name Capsicum annuum. RNAcentral's name for it is "long non-coding RNA (CANN_LNC010000)". Lineage: Eukaryota; Viridiplantae; Streptophyta; Magnoliopsida; Solanales; Solanaceae. The record is from RNAcentral.